GACGAACGCUGGCGGCGUGCCUAAUACAUGCAAGUUGAGCGCUGAAGGUUGGUACUUGUACCAACUGGAUGAGCAGCGAACGGGUGAGUAACGCGUGGGGAAUCUGCCUUUGAGCGGGGGACAACAUUUGGAAACGAAUGCUAAUACCGCAUAAAAACUUUAAACACAAGUUUUAAGUUUGAAAGAUGCAAUUGCAUCACUCAAAGAUGAUCUCGCGUUGUAUUAGCUAGUUGGUGAGGUAAAGGCUCACCAAAGGGAUGAAACAUAGCCGACCUGAGAGGGGGGUCGGCCAACUUGGGACUGGGACAAGGCCCAAACUCCUACGGGAGGCAGCAGGAGGGAAUCUUCGGCAAUGGACGGAAGGCUGACCGGGCAAAGCCGCGGUAGGGAAGAAAGUUUUCGGAUCGUAAAACUCUUUUGGUAGAGAAGAACGUUGGUGGGAGUGGAAAGCUCAUCAAGUGACGGUAACUACCCAGAAAGGGACGGCUAACUACGUG
This 497-nucleotide ribosomal RNA is filed under the name uncultured bacterium. RNAcentral describes it as "partial 16S ribosomal RNA". It matches the Rfam family "Bacterial small subunit ribosomal RNA", at positions 28 to 507 of the family's 1533-position model. The record is from RNAcentral.